GUGGGGAAUUUUGGACAAUGGGGGCAACCCUGAUCCAGCAAUGCCGCGUGCAGGAAGAAGGCCUUCGGGUUGUAAACUGCUUUUGUACGGAACGAAACGGUCUGGGUUAAUACCCUGGGCUAAUGACGGUACCGUAAGAAUAAGCACCGGCUAACUACGUGCCAGCAGCCGCGGUAAUACGUAGGGUGCAAGCGUUAAUCGGAAUUACUGGGCGUAAAGCGUGCGCAGGCGGUUUUGUAAGACAGAGGUGAAAUCCCCGGGCUCAACCUGGGAGCUGCCUUUGUGACUGCAAGGCUGGAGUGCGGCAGAGGGGGAUGGAAUUCCGCGUGUAGCAGUGAAAUGCGUAGAUAUGCGGAGGAACACCGAUGGCGAAGGCAAUCCCCUGGGCCUGCACUGACGCUCAUGCACGAAAGCGUGGGGAGCAAACAGGAUUAGAAACCCUUGUAGUCC
RNAcentral lists this ribosomal RNA (450 nucleotides) under uncultured bacterium. RNAcentral's name for it is "partial 16S ribosomal RNA". It matches the Rfam family "Bacterial small subunit ribosomal RNA", at positions 354 to 796 of the family's 1533-position model. The record is from RNAcentral.